RNAcentral lists this transfer RNA (85 nucleotides) under Phenylobacterium deserti. Its description in RNAcentral is "tRNA-Leu". It matches the Rfam family "tRNA". From Rfam's summary of the family: Transfer RNA (tRNA) molecules are approximately 80 nucleotides in length. The record is from RNAcentral. Lineage: Bacteria; Pseudomonadati; Pseudomonadota; Alphaproteobacteria; Caulobacterales; Caulobacteraceae.
GGGGACAUGGCGGAACUGGUAGACGCAAGCGACUUAAAAUCGCUCGGAGUGAUCCGUCCGGGUUCGAUUCCCGGUGUCCCCACCA